GUAGGGUGGCAAGCGUUGUCCGGAAUUAUUGGGCGUAAAGCGCGCGCAGGCGGUCCUUUAAGUCUGAUGUGAAAGCCCGCGGCUCAACCGUGGAGGGUCAUUGGAAACUGGGGGACUUGAGUACAGAAGAGGAAAGCGGAAUUCCAAGUGUAGCGGUGAAAUGCGUAGAGAUUUGGAGGAACACCAGUGGCGAAGGCGGCUUUCUGGUCUGUAACUGACGCUGAGGCGCGAAAGCGUGGGGAGCAAACAGGAUUAGAUACCCUGGUAGUCCACGCCGUAAACGAUGAGUGCUAAGUGUUAGGGGGUUUCCGCCCCUUAGUGCUGCAGCUAACGCAUUAAGCACUCCGCCUGGGGAGUACGGCCGCAAGGCUG
RNAcentral lists this ribosomal RNA (372 nucleotides) under uncultured organism. RNAcentral describes it as "partial 16S ribosomal RNA". It matches the Rfam family "Bacterial small subunit ribosomal RNA", at positions 526 to 896 of the family's 1533-position model. The record is from RNAcentral.